RNAcentral lists this long non-coding RNA (805 nucleotides) under Pongo abelii (Sumatran orangutan). RNAcentral describes it as "lincRNA". Lineage: Eukaryota; Metazoa; Chordata; Mammalia; Primates; Hominidae. The record is from RNAcentral.
CACUGCCAGCAGACGCAAGUGAGGGAUGGGAGCGCCUGAUAGCCCACAUCUCCAGGAGCAGAUUGUAAGUGAAAUCUCAAGUAUUCAUCCGCAGGGAGGAUCUGGGCAGGAACAAAAUCCCAGAAGUUUCUGUUUGUGUGGUAAGAUACAGAAAUAGUGUGGGCUGAGAAGCAGAGGGGCAGGUCCUGCCUUUCGUGUAGCAAAAUGACAAUUACCCCAUCUUUCAGCCGGCUGUGCAGAAAGAGCUGCUACCCUUUCCUGCUUCCUGAGGACAUUUCAACAUGACUUCGAGCACAAUUAAAGUGAACUGCCAAGGUUAAGCGAGCUUUCCUUCCUUAGGGAAUCUCCCAACCCCCAAUUCUAUAAUACUACUCACUUAGUUUGGCUAUGGUGAAACCCACCUUGUCCUCUACUAAAGAUAUGGAACUACCACCUCGCCAGUCAGUCUUCCAUGAUCCCGGCCACCGCAAUUGGCUCAGGUAGGGGCACAUGACCUAAGUUGGCCAAUCAGUUUUCUUGGGCCUUUUGUUAAAGCUCUUCUCUUUCUUUAGGUCGUUGCUGCCAUGAAGUAAGUCUGUCUGGAAAUGAAGGCAAGCAGAGGCAACAAAGCUGAGACAUGGAGACAGAGAGAGUCCUGAUGUUAUUAUUUGAACCAUUGAGUCCAGCUGUGCCUGAAACUCUUCAGUGAACCAAGAAAUUCCUUUUUGGCUUAAGCCAAUUGGAGUCGUGUUUGUGAUACUUGCAAAUGAAAGGAGUUAUUGACUAAUAAAACUGACAUUUCUAUCUCUCCAAGAAUUAGGAAAUA